UCUCUGAAGUUAAGGUAGGAACUAUAAAAGAUGACGUAUCCAACUCUCGGGCACUUGAAAACUUGAAGAAUUGGACAACAUUUUCAUUUACACUAGGAAAGAAUGGAGAAAAAUUCAAUGUAGAAGUUAAACAAGUCAACUUUCGUAAUGAUUCAAGCGCUGCUGGUUAUGGUGCAGGUGAGUGAAUAUUAAAAAAAUCAUCGUUCCAUACUGUGUUGGUGUUAGCUAAGUAAUUGUUUACCUUUUGUUCAGAAAUUAGGCAC
Long non-coding RNA from Limulus polyphemus (Atlantic horseshoe crab), 263 nucleotides. RefSeq lists it as uncharacterized. NCBI's taxonomy places the organism in Eukaryota, Metazoa, Arthropoda, Merostomata, Xiphosura, Limulidae. The transcript has 3 exons. The record is from RefSeq and is a predicted model, not a curated record.